UUCUGCCUACGGGGGGCAGCAGUAGGUUAUCUUGUUCGUUGGGCGACCGCCUGAUGGAGCAACGCCGCGUGGGUGAAGAAGGUCUUCGGAUCGUAAAACCCUGUUGUUAGAGAAGAAAGUGCGUGAGAGUAACUGUUCACGUUUCGACGGUAUCUAACCAGAAAGCCACGGCUAACUACGUGCCAGCAGCCGCGGUAAUACGUAGGUGGCAAGCGUUAUCCGGAUUUAUUGGGCGUAAAGGGAACGCAGGCGGUCUUUUAAGUCUGAUGUGAAAGCCUUCGGCUUAACCGGAGCAGUGCAUUGGA
This 305-nucleotide ribosomal RNA is filed under the name uncultured bacterium. RNAcentral's name for it is "bacterial SSU rRNA". It matches the Rfam family "Bacterial small subunit ribosomal RNA", at positions 333 to 630 of the family's 1533-position model. The record is from RNAcentral.